UACGUAGGGAGCAAGCGUUGUCCGGAAUCAUUGGGCGUAAAGAGCGUGUAGGCGGCCCGAUUAGUCCGCUGUGAAAGUCCAGGGCUCAACCCUGGAAUGCCGGUGGAUACUGUCGGGCUAGAGUCCGGAAGGGGCGAGUGGAAUUCCUGGUGUAGCGGUGAAAUGCGCAGAUAUCAGGAGGAACACCUAUGGCGAAGGCAGCUCGCUGGGACGGUACUGACGCUGAGGCGCGAAAGCGUGGGGAGCGAACAGG
RNAcentral lists this ribosomal RNA (253 nucleotides) under uncultured bacterium. RNAcentral describes it as "partial 16S ribosomal RNA". It matches the Rfam family "Bacterial small subunit ribosomal RNA", at positions 524 to 776 of the family's 1533-position model. The record is from RNAcentral.